RNAcentral lists this ribosomal RNA (484 nucleotides) under uncultured bacterium. RNAcentral describes it as "partial 16S ribosomal RNA". It matches the Rfam family "Bacterial small subunit ribosomal RNA", at positions 28 to 523 of the family's 1533-position model. The record is from RNAcentral.
GACGAACGCUGGCGGCGUGCUUAACACAUGCAAGUCGAACGAUGAAGCCGGAGCUUGCUCUGGUGGAUUAGUGGCGAACGGGUGAGUAACACGUGAGUAACCUGCCCUUGACUCUGGGAUAACUGCGGGAAACUGUAGCUAAUACCGGAUACGACCCUCGGAGGCAUCUCCUGGGGGUGGAAAGAAUUUCGGUCAAGGAUGGACUCGCGGCCUAUCAGCUAGUUGGUGAGGUAAAGGCUCACCAAGGCGACGACGGGUAGCCGGCCGGAGAGGGUGACCGGCCACACUGGGACUGAGACACGGCCCAGACUCCUACGGGAGGCAGCAGUGGGGAAUAUUGCACAAUGGGCGCAAGCCUGAUGCAGCAACGCCGCGUGAGGGAUGACGGCCUUCGGGUUGUAAACCUCUUUUAGCAGGGAAGAAGCGAAAGUGACGGUACCUGCAGAAAAAGCACCGGCUAACUACGUGCCAGCCGCCGCCGUAA